CACUAGCAGCCACCAUCUUGUUUCCAAACCGUCAUGACGUCCCGAAUGUACAUUUGUCAGCUACAAAAUAACUCCGCAAAUAUACUCGAUGUGCACAGCAAACCGGGAUCUGAGUGCUUCUGUCGUGCGGUUUACAUUUGAAGCCCCUGGAAGCAGGAAAGGCAAGCUGCUGCCCCAGAUGGCACCGCUAACGAGGAGACCCAAAUGGUACUCAGAGCGCCAGGCUUGGGUUCGCAACCAAGGUCUACCAUUACACUUGGUGGCCCCAGAGAGGAAGGCCGCCAGAGACUCUGCUUUGUGUGCUGUCACACACUUGAGUUGAAGCGUCAGUCACUUCUGCCCGAUGGCCUUGGAAGGCUGCCCUGUAUGGAAGCUUCCUCAUGCCGAGGCAACAGUGAGACCCAUUUUCAGAGUCGGGUAAAGAAGAAGUUGGUGAAGGUAAAUAUUGGCAUCAGUAAACACACUCUUAGGACCAUUCUGCUUCCUCCCUAAAGGAAGAGUACGACCGUGAUGGUGAAUGCUGAUUGCCAGGUCGACAAGCUCUAAAAUCACUUAGCAGCCAGUCUUCUGGGCACGGCUAUAUGGAAGUUUCUAGAGUGGGUUAAGUAAGGUGGAAAGACCCACCCUAAACAUGGGUGACACCAUUGAAUGGGUCAGGACCUCAGAUGGAAUAAAAAGGAGAAAGCAAGCUGGGUGUCAGCAGGCAUCUCUCUUUGUUUCCUGACUAGGAUCUGGGUACCAGCACUCAUCUCAAAAUUUGUGUUUCCUGCGUAGAGACAUGAUGUGACUGGUGCCUCAUCUCCUACCACCAUGCCUUCCCCAUCAUGAGGCACCAUAGCCAAGAACUGUGAGCCAAAAUGACUCUUCUUUCAGUUGGUUUUGCAGAGUAUUUUUGUCAUAGCAACAAGAAAAGGAACUAUAAUAACGCAAGCGGCAACUCCACCUCAAGUCUGCUCGGGACGUGGCCACAAAGGUGGCUUGUUGAAUCUCCUCUCGGUCAUUGUUGUAUCCAACUAGUCCAUCAGUCCUUGGGUUCAGAAACUGUGGUAGUGUCGGUGAGUAGGCUUCCACGGUCAUCCAGGGGAUGCCUGUCCCUGACUUCCCUGCCCAGGGCAAAUGCCAAGAGAAGGUAGAACAUUACUUAUUGAGUACCUACUUAGUCCCCCAGGACUGUGCACAUGCCUCAAAUACUUCUUCCACAAUAUCUCCCAAUAACCCAAGAUUCUUCUACUGUCCAUUUGAGAGAAUGUUGGCUCAGAGAGGUCAAGUGGAUGGCCUAAGGUCACAGAGUUUUUGAGAGGCCGAGCCAAGAUCCAAACCAAGGUCCUAGAGUCUCAUGAACACAAUCUGGUGCCCAAGGCCAGAAACCUGCCAGAGUUGGCAUCCUGUUCUGAGACUAUCUUGCCCAAUCAAUCAGCUUAGGGCUGAAGACACAGGUACUAUGUUGAAUCCAGGAAACAGUUUGGGGAAACUGAGAUCAAGCCAGAGGACCUCCUCUUCCAUUAGUGCCACACUCUGGUCCCCCUACGGUUGUGGUACCCUCGAUGGGCCAGUCCGUGGCACACUAGAGGUAGGGUGGCUGGGAGCUGGGGGAUCGGGGGACAGGGGGCAGGUGAGUGGCUGGGGCCUGGAACACUGACCACCGAUUCAUGCUCCAUGCUGGUUCUUGCUUAAGGGACUUGGAGGCACAAGAGCCAGUGAGUGUAAAGUGGAGGCCGCAAUGGCCCCUUCAGUCACAGCAGAUGUGGCUUGAGUCCUGUGUCCACUAGCUAAAGGCCUCCUAAUGCUAGAUCUGGAAAAGCAGGCACGCACAAGAUGUGGCCCCAGUCCCUAGUGAAUGGAAGACGUUAAUCACGUGGUGUAGCUGGGGAAACAAACGUCCAAGGAAGUGCCUUGCCCAAGGCCACGGUGUGCUUAGUGGUAGAGCUGGGACAAACAUCCAGAGCAAAUCCGUUGUGGCCGUUUCUGUACAGGGUGCCACUGGGCCAAGGGGAGGGGACUUCAGCAACACAGCCAAGACAUGGCAACUGUGGGAUGCGCUGUCUGAAGCAGGACAGUCCUGCGAGACAAAGGAGCUCUUGUUAAUUAGGUGAGGACAGGACCGGCGAAACCACACGGUCACCUGUGUCAGGAGCUUAUGAUUGUCGGUCAGCCAUGAAAACGGAGUCUUGCCAUUCUGUCUCCGCUGACAGAUCCACAAACUAGGGCUCGGGGGAGGUAAUAAAAGCCAUCUAGAGCUCACCGGCAGAUGCUCAAUCGGGGCAUAAAUAGAACUUGGGUCUUGCAAGAAGAAAAAUCACAGGCAGUGGCUGACUGUCAGGGACAUCUGGGAAGGAGUCAUAACUGUAACCGACAGCUGUCUGUUCUGAUGAUGCUGUGCCUCUGACAAGCUGGGGGUUUUUUGGUUUUUUUUUUUUUAAUAUUUUCAACAAAAAUUUUCAAUUAUUCCUUCCAGGAAAGGGAGCCUAAGAAUGCAGUUUCAGUGGGAGGGACAGACAGGAUGCCACACGGCCAGGAUACUGUCAUUCCAUGGCUAUGGGGAGGUGGCAGGAUCCACAGCAUGCGGUAUAUUCUGAGCCACAGUGCAUGGUGUGGCCUCCAGGGCAAGAGUCUCUGUAGGAGAAGUCCUGCUUCCUUCCUCCUUUUCCCUCUAAGCUAACUCAAAAGCAGCCAGCAAUAGGGUCUGGCAGCCAAGAAGACACUGAGCUAUAAAACAGCUCCAGACAAGGACUGACGUCGGUGCCGAGACAGUCAGGACAGGGACAACAAAGAGAUCCAGGCCCUGCCAGAAGAUAGGCCAUGCCCCAUCCACGGGAGGUCAUGCCAGCCUCGGUCUUCAGAAGAGCAGGAGCGCUGAAGAUCCCUGCAGUACCUCCAAGGCCCCGCCUUCUGGCCCCGCUGUCAGAUCCUCAGCCUUACCUUCCAGCUCUCUGCUUUCUAAGAGUUCCUUCCCCUUUCUGUGUUUACCCCACCCCACCCCCAGCCUGCACCCAGUUAUCCCCAGCCCAGAGCUUGGGGUGAUUUUCAGGAACCUGUCAUUGUGAAAAAAUUCAAACCACUCCUA
Molecule: non-coding RNA, 3064 nt
Organism: Peromyscus maniculatus bairdii (prairie deer mouse)
Lineage: Eukaryota; Metazoa; Chordata; Mammalia; Rodentia; Cricetidae
Source: RefSeq, a predicted model, not a curated record